RNAcentral lists this RNase P RNA (368 nucleotides) under uncultured Pseudomaricurvus sp. Its description in RNAcentral is "Bacterial RNase P class A". It matches the Rfam family "Bacterial RNase P class A". From Rfam's summary of the family: Ribonuclease P (RNase P) is a ubiquitous endoribonuclease, found in archaea, bacteria and eukarya as well as chloroplasts and mitochondria. The record is from RNAcentral. Lineage: Bacteria; Pseudomonadati; Pseudomonadota; Gammaproteobacteria; Cellvibrionales; Cellvibrionaceae.
AGUUGGUCAGGCAGUCGCCGCUAGGUGUGAUUUCGGUCGCACAUAGGGGAGGAAAGUCCGGGCUCCAUAGGGUAGAACGCCAGGUAACUCCUGGGGGGCGAAAGCCUACGGAAAGUGCAGCAGAGAGCAAACCGCCGAUGGCCCUUUAGCAAUAGAGGUGCACAGGUAAGGGUGAAAGGGUGCGGUAAGAGCGCACCGCGCAACUGGUAACAGCUUGUGGCAUGGUAAACCCCGUUCGGAGCAAGACCAAAUAGGCCUUCUAAGGUGCGACCCGCACUGAAGGCGGGUAGGUUGCUCGAAGCUUGUGGUGACGCAAGCUCUAGAUGAAUGACUGUCCACGACAGAACCCGGCUUACCGACCAACUUCU